UGGUAGGCCUGUUUCCAGGUUAGUUGGUUGGUAAGCUGCCAUUUAUGUUAGGCUUGUUGCCAGGUUGGUAGGUUUGUUGCCAGGUUAGUUGGUUGGUAAGCUGCCAUUUUAUUUUAGGCUUGUUGCCAGGUUGGUAGGCUUGUUGCCAGGUUGGUAGGCUUGUUGCCAGGUUGGUAGGCUUGUUGCCAGGUUGGUAGGCUUGUUGCCAGGUUAAUUGGUUGGUAAGCUGCCAUUUUCUUUUAGGCUUGUUGCCAGGUUGGUAUGCUUGUUUCAAGGUUAGUUGGUUUGUAAGCUGCCAGGUUGGUAGGCUUGUUGCAAAGUUGCUAGGCUUGUUUGACGGUUUGUUGGUUGGUAGGCGUGUUGCCAGGUUGGUAGGCGUGUUGCCAGGUUAGUUGGUUGGUAGGCUUGUUGCCAGGUUAGGUGGUUGGUAGGCUUGUUGUCAGGUUGGUAGGUUGGUUGCCAGGUUAGUUGGUUGGUAGGUUGGUUGCCAGGUUAGUUGGUUGGUAGAUUGCCAGGUUGGUAGGUUAGUUACCAGGUUGGUAGGCUUGUUUCCAGGUUGGUAAGUUGCCAGGUUGGUAGGUUGCCCAUUAGGUUGGUAGGUUGCCUCUUAGGUUGGUUGGUUGGUAGGUUGGAUGGUUGGUUAAUAGGUUGGAUUGUUGGUUGGGAGGUUGCCUCUAAGGUUGCCAGGUAGGUUGGUGAGUUGGUUGGUGGGUUGCCAGGUAGGUUUGUUAGUUGAAGGUUCCCAGGUUGUUAGGUUGCCUCUUAGGUUGCCUGGUAGGUUGCCAGGUUGGUAGGUAUGUUGCCAGGUUAGUUGGUAGGUAGGUUGCCUGGUAGAUUAGGAGGUUGCCUCUUAGGUUGCCAGCUAGGUUGGUUAGUUGGUUGGUAGGUUGGUAGGUUGCCUCUAAGGUUGGUAGGUUGCCAGGUUGGUAGCUUAACAGGUUGCCUUAUUAGCCGGUUAAAACUAGAAGUGGGGGUAAACAUCUUCGUGUGAGAAUCUGGAUAACUUUCUUCCCAAUACUUUACGUAUUGUCAGAUUGACAAAAAUAUGUAAACCAUUAAAGUCCAAGUUAUCUGAGUGGAAGCAAAAUAAACACGCACAGUGCGUGUGUCUGUGUGACGUGCUCGACGUAGGUGAACAACAAGACGUUGUUCAGAUCUACAAUAGCGGCAUAUGGUAAAAUGAGCGAUGAGAAAUUGAAAUGCUGUGCAGCCUGCAAGUGUUAAUUAGGUACCAGUCUGUCCACCGGUUGAGUUCCCUCUCUGGUGUGUGUGUGUGUGUGUGUGUGUGUGUGUGUGUGUGUGUGUGUGUGUGUGUGUGUGUGUGUGUGUGUGUGUGUGUGUGUGUGUG
This is a long non-coding RNA of Gadus morhua (Atlantic cod), 1348 nucleotides long. RefSeq lists it as uncharacterized. NCBI's taxonomy places the organism in Eukaryota, Metazoa, Chordata, Actinopteri, Gadiformes, Gadidae. The record is from RefSeq and is a predicted model, not a curated record. The transcript has 2 exons.